This 117-nucleotide ribosomal RNA is filed under the name Chloropicon laureae. Its description in RNAcentral is "partial Trypanosomatid mitochondrial large subunit ribosomal RNA". Lineage: Eukaryota; Viridiplantae; Chlorophyta; Chloropicophyceae; Chloropicales; Chloropicaceae. The record is from RNAcentral.
CACCCCUAACUAAAUGCACAAGUUGAACAGUGAAUUUUUCCCUUUAUUAAAGGUUUUCAUAAACGUUUAAUAACAGGUUUUUGUCUUUUCAUUUUACAAAAAAAAAAAAAAAAAAAA